UGAACGCUAGCGGCAGGCUUAACACAUGCAAGUCGAGGGGUAUAGUUCUUCGGAACUAGAGACCGGCGCACGGGUGCGUAACGCGUAUGCAAUCUACCUUUCACAGAGGGAUAGCCCAGAGAAAUUUGGAUUAAUACCUCAUAGUAUAGUACCUUGGCAUCAAGGAACUAUUAAAGAUUUAUCGGUGAAAGAUGAGCAUGCGUCCCAUUAGCUAGUUGGUAAGGUAACGGCUUACCAAGGCUACGAUGGGUAGGGGUCCUGAGAGGGAGAUCCCCCACACUGGUACUGAGACACGGACCAGACUCCUACGGGAGGCAGCAGUGAGGAAUAUUGGUCAAUGGGCGCAAGCCUGAACCAGCCAUGCCGCGUGCAGGAUGACGGUCCUAUGGAUUGUAAACUCUUUUACAGGGGAAGAAGUUAUCUUUUUUAGGAUAUUUGACGGUACCCUAUGAAUAAGCACCGGCUAACUCCGUCCCAGCAGC
RNAcentral lists this ribosomal RNA (482 nucleotides) under uncultured bacterium. RNAcentral's name for it is "bacterial SSU rRNA". It matches the Rfam family "Bacterial small subunit ribosomal RNA", at positions 30 to 515 of the family's 1533-position model. The record is from RNAcentral.